Molecule: ribosomal RNA, 427 nt
Filed under: uncultured bacterium
Lineage: Bacteria
Description: bacterial SSU rRNA
Rfam family: Bacterial small subunit ribosomal RNA
Source: RNAcentral
GAACGAGAAAGUGGAGCAAUCCAUGAGUAAAGUGGCGACNCGGGUGAGUAACACGUGACUAACCUACCCUAGAGUGGGGGAUAACCUCGGGAAACCGGGGCUAAUACCGCAUAACAUCGCGAGGGGAAGAUCCUUGCGAUCAAAGGAGCAAUUCGCUCAAGGAGGGGGUCGCGGCUGAUUAGCUAGUUGGUGAGGUAACGGCCCACCAAGGCGAAGAUCAGUAGCCGGCCUGAGAGGGCGCACGGCCACACUGGAACUGAAACACGGUCCAGACUCCUACGGGAGGCAGCAGUGGGGAAUUUUGCGCAAUGGGGGAAACCCUGACGCAGCAACGCCGCGUGGAGGAUGAAGUCCCUUGGGAUGUAAACUCCUUUCGAUCGGGACGAUAAUGACGGUACCGGAAGAAGAAGCACCGGCUAACUCUGUG